GGGCUGGGGCUCAAUGGCAGAGUGCUUGCCUUGAAUGUGUGAGGCUCUGGGUUCGAUCCUCAGCACCACA
Molecule: transfer RNA, 70 nt
Filed under: Marmota monax (woodchuck)
Lineage: Eukaryota; Metazoa; Chordata; Mammalia; Rodentia; Sciuridae
Description: tRNA.Ser
Source: RNAcentral